This 260-nucleotide ribosomal RNA is filed under the name uncultured archaeon. RNAcentral's name for it is "partial 16S ribosomal RNA". It matches the Rfam family "Archaeal small subunit ribosomal RNA", at positions 748 to 1008 of the family's 1478-position model. The record is from RNAcentral.
CAGCCCUAAACGAUGCGCGUUAGGUGUAUCGGUGACCACGAGCCACCGAGGUGCCGAAGGGAAACCGUGAAACGUGCCGCCUGGGAAGUACGGUCGCAAGGCUGAAACUUAAAGGAAUUGGCGGGGAGCACCACAACGGGUGGAGCCUGCGGUUUAAUUGGACUCAACGCCGGGAAGCUCACCGGAUAAGACAGCGGAAUGAUUGCCGGGCUGAAGACCCUGCAUGACCAGCUGAGAGGAGGUGCAUGGCGUGUGACUGU